This 74-nucleotide transfer RNA is filed under the name Lecanora saxigena. RNAcentral's name for it is "tRNA-Cys". It matches the Rfam family "tRNA". Rfam says of the family: Transfer RNA (tRNA) molecules are approximately 80 nucleotides in length. The record is from RNAcentral. Lineage: Eukaryota; Fungi; Ascomycota; Lecanoromycetes; Lecanorales; Lecanoraceae.
GGGAUAUGAUGUACAAAGGUAGUACGAUUUGAUUGCAGAUCUUAUUUAAGAGGUUCGAUUCCUCCAUAUCCCUC